GCUAUGACUCACAGUGACAGCGUUCACGUUAGCUAGUGUUCAGAUGGAGCAGCUCUGGCAACAGAAGAAGCAGGUUAUGUUAUUGAUUACCUGCUGCAGAGGACAGUUGCACCAAGAUUGUUUUUUACAAGCACAGAUGGAACAGAGGAGGCUCUACUAAGCACUGCUGUCAUUGUUAGUAUUGCUUUCUUAAGACUUCAUUUAAAAAAAGAACUGGAUACACAUGCUGAAUUUCAUUUGUGAAAGGUGGAGUAAGAGCCUGGGCACCUGACUGGCAUCAGUGCUGAAUGCCUGAAACUGGAUGGUGCUACAGCCUCAGCUUAGGAAGUAAUGCAACAACUUUUCCUAUGAAGAGGGAAUUCAGCAAUGGAAGAUUUUGAAGGAGAAAGGCCUAUAUGAGGAUGUGUGUUUAACUGAUAUUAUGAUGUACAAAAUCCCUCCCCACAUGAUGAAAAGAGUCCUCUCAUGGUAAUGUUAGAGGAGUAGCAGUUGGACACAACCUGCUGCACUCUGCUACUCUGUGAGACAAACAUCAGCAAAGCCAAGCAGCAAGAAAAGAAGGGCUCUUCAUGAGAAAAUGACAGCAAGAGAACACAGCCCCCGCCAUGGUGCCAAAUCCCGCACUGUGCAGAGGGCCUCCACCAUUGAUGUCACCUCUGACAUGGUUGGCCUUUCUCUAACAGGAAACAUCCAGGAUCCAGAUGAGCCGAUUUUAGAGUUCAGUUUAGCUUGCAGUGAGCUGCUAACUCCAUCGCUAGAUCGAAAACCAAAUAGUUUUGUAGCAGUGAGUGUAACUACUCCUCCCCAGGCAUUCUGGACGAAGCAUGCACAGACAGAAAUUAUUGAGGGAACAAGCAAUCCUAUCUUUCUAAGCAGCAUUGCCUUUUUCCAAGACUCUCUUAUCAAUCAAAUGACACAAAUCAAACUCUCCGUGUAUGACGUCAAAGAUAGAUCUCAGGGAACAAUGUAUUUGUUGGGUUCUGGGACAUUCACUGUAAAGGAUCUUCUUCAGGAGAAGUACCACAGGUUGCACAUAACACUAAGGUCGGCUGAAAGUGACCGUGUUGGUAACAUCACAGUUAUUGGAUGGCAGAUGGAGGAAAAAUCUGACCAAAGGCCUCCAGUGACAAGGUCACCUGAUACAAUUAAUGGAAGGACUGUGUUGCCAGUUGAUGAAAGUUUAACAGAAUCCUUAGGAAUCAGAUCCAAAUAUGCUUCAUUGAGGAAGGAUGCACUACUGAAAUCUGUGUUUGGUGGUGCCAUUUGCCGAAUGUAUCGCUUCCCAACCACUGAUGGAAACCACUUGAGAAUCUUGGAGCAGAUGGCAGAGAGCAUCCUGUCACUGCACAUCCCUAGACAAUUUGUGAAGCUGCUUCUAGAAGAAGAUGCAGCAAGGGUUUGUGAACUAGAAGAAUUGGGAGAACUGUCUCCUUGUUGGGAAAGCCUUCGUCGACAAAUAGUUACGCAGUACCAAACAAUUAUUUUAACUUACCAGGAAAAUCUAACUGACCUGCACCAGUAUAAAGGUCCUUCAUUUAAAGCCAGUAGCUUGAAAGCUGAUAAAAAAUUGGAAUUCGUUCCUACGAAUUUACAUAUACAGAGGAUGAGAGUCCAGGAUGAUGGAGGAUCAGAUCAGAACUACGACAUAGUCACCAUAGGAGCACCAGCAGCUCAUUGUCAAGGCUUUAAAUCAGGUGGCUUGAGGAAAAAGCUGCAUAAAUUUGAAGAGGCAAAGAAACACAGUUAUGAGGAGUGUUGCACUUCAACAGGUUCCCAGUCUAUAAUAUACAUCCCACAGGACAUCGUUAGAGCAAAGGAAAUUAUUGCACAAAUCAACACCCUGAAAACACAAGUCAGUUACUAUGCAGAAAGGCUCUCAAGAGCUGCCAAGGAUAGAUCAGCUAAUGGCCUUGAAAGAACGCUUGCCAUCCUGGCAGAUAAGACCCGGCAACUUGUCACAGUUUGUGACUGCAAGCUGUUGGCAAAUUCAAUACACGGGCUGAAUGCUGCAAGGCCAGACUAUAUAGCUUCAAAAGCAUCUCCAACCUCUGGAGAAGGGGAGCAAGUGAUGCUAAGGAAUGAUCAGGAUACACUUGUGGCCAGAUGGACGGGAAGAAACAGCCGAUCUUCUCUGCAGGUGGACUGGCAUGAAGAGGAAUGGGAGAAAGUUUGGUUGAAUGUUGACAAAAGCCUGGAGUGUAUCAUCCAGCGAGUGGACAAACUUCUCCAGAAGGAGCGCCUGCAAAGUGACAGCUGUGAGGACGUUUUCCAGUGUGACGUCAGCAGUACUAGUAAGAAAGGUAAUCGGGACAGUCGUGCCUACUGGAUAAAUCCAGAAGAUUUAAAUGAGACCUCAUCAUCCUCACCACCUUCAUCAUCCUCACCACCAUCUUCAUCCACACCAUCCUGUGCAUGCCAUUCUCUCAGGACAAAUUGCAGCCCUACUCCAGAAGAAUCUGCCCCAGGUGAAUGGAGUGAAGCUCUUUAUCCCUUGCUGACCACACUCACUGACUGUGUAGCCAUGAUGAGCGACAAGGCAAAGAAAGCCAUGGUCUUUUUAUUAAUGCAGGACAGUGCCCCGACAAUAGGGCUCUGCCUCAGCCUUCAGUAUCGCAGGGAUGUUGUCUUCUGCCAGACUCUGACAGCUCUCAUUUGUGGUUUCAUUAUCAAGCUGAGGAACUGCCUGCAUGAUGAUGGAUUUCUAAGACAACUCUACACCAUUGGCUUGCUGGCACAGUUUGAGAGCCUGCUGAGCACUUAUGGUGAGGAGCUGGCAAUGCUGGAGGACAUGAGUUUGGGAAUCAUGGACUUGAGGAAUGUAACCUUUAAAGUAACUCAGGCUACAUCAAAUACAUCUACUGAUAUGCUGCCAGUGAUCACUGGAAACCGUGAUGGAUUUAACGUGAGGAUCCCUCUGCCAAGCGCCUUGUUUGAUUUGUUGCCGCGCGAGAUUCAAAGUGGAAUGUUACUGAGGGUUCAGCCUGUUCUCUUCAACGUGGGAAUCAAUGAGCAGCAAACCCUAGCAGAGAAGUUUGGGGACACCUCACUGCAAGAAAUAAUUAACAUGGAAAGCUUAGUGCGGUUGAAUUCUUAUUUUGAGCAGUUCAAGGAAGUUUUGCCUGAUGAUUGUCUACCUCGAUCUCGUAGUCAGACGUGCCUGCCUGAACUGUUAAGAUUUCUGGGUCAAAAUGUACAUGCAAGGAAAAACAAGAAUGUUGAUAUCCUUUGGCAAGCUGCUGAGAUAUGCCGCAGACUUAACGGUGUUCGGUUUACGAGCUGUAAAAGUGCCAAGGAUAGGACUGCCAUGUCAAUCACCCUGGAGCAGUGUUUGAUCCUACAGCAUGAACAUGGAAUGGCUCCACAGGUCUUCACUCAGGCUCUGGAGUGUAUGAGGAGUGAGGGUUGUCGCCGAGAAAAUACAAUGAAGAAUGUUGGAUGUCGCAAGUAUGCAUUUAAUUCCCUGCAACUGAAGGCUUUCCCAAAGUAUUACAGGCCUCCAGAAGGAACUUAUGGAAAAGUUGAAACAUAAGCAUACUAUGUCCUUUAAUUACUGUUCCAUUAAAACAUGUGGAUACACUCUAGAUUAACACAUGAUUUCGUCAUCCAGAAGAGAUAAACAACCUUUUUGUACGUUUCGCUAGGUCAUACAGAGCAUGUUACUGAAUUGGAAUCUAUAGUAACAAUUAUUCUGACACCUUAGCUUGAGAAUAGUGUGAUGACUCUCUGCCCAUUUCAAUAGCCUUCAGUGUAUGUAAGAUGAGCAGAUAUUGUGCUACUUAAUAAUUACCUAUAUGCAAAUAGCUAGGUACCUCCUGGAUGGGCAAGGACUCUAGGAAUGGCAUUCAGGCAGCUGUCUCCAUAACAUCUUUUUAUACUGAGUUGAUUUGAGAUUGAGCUUUUCCUAAACUUUUUAAAACUGAGAGUAAAACUUAAAAGUUGUAAAUAAAAAGGAUCCUAGACAGUGUAGUAACUGUAGAAUGCAUUGUUGCAAUCAAUAAAAGGGGGUUUAAUUAAAAAAAAAUCAGCACAAUAAGAGCCAGGAGAAAGAAUUGUUUUACUGUAUAUAGGAUGGCCACCUUCAUGUAUGAAGUUAACAAUAUAUAAAAGGCCAGACGUGUGGUCUGGUUUAUAAUUCUGUUCAGAUAAAAAAAAUUCCUGUCAUCUUUGGCUGAUAAGGCUUUGGGCACACAACUGAUUUUUAAAAAUAUUUCAGAAACAUCAUGAUGCUUAACUAUUAAUGCCCUUCCCCACUCUAAGGCAAGUGCAACAAGCAAAUUGCUGAUGUUGCACAUGAUAUGUUCAGUAUAUUCCAUGGUGUUGUACAUUAAUUAUCACAUUUUUACCCAUGGGGUUUUUUUGUAUCACUUCUGGAUUGUAAGCAUUAGUAUCUUGGGGUGUUACAUUAUUUUGGUCAGUGUACAAUUUUUCUGUAUCAGUUUUGUCAUUACAAAAAUGCUCAAAGUGCCCAAUGCAUCUCCCUUGCUCUAAAGUCAAAAUUGGUUUCUGUUUACCUUUGCAUUUCACCUGUUGAGAAUCCUGGUGGGGGGAAGUGUGAGCGGUGUCAGGGUAUUUCUGAGGAAGGUAGAAAUGCCCUGUUUUGUUAGAGAGGAACUGCUCAGUGCUACUGCUUGUGCCUGAGAACCACAGGUGGGUUCUAGCUUAUGGCAAAGGUGGUCAGUUGGAUAGCAUUUGAUAAAAAAUGUUCAACAGAUCUCCUCCAAAAUAAAUUCCCAAAGAAUGCCUUUGGAGCUAAGAUAGCGUUUUAAAAAGCAGCUAAACAUUCAUUUCCAAAUUUUAACAAGAUCAAGUAAUCUUUAGCUAGCUUCAUUCAGCACAUUGUACUUUCCUUCUUAGUUUCUAAGGAUCUAAGUUUCAGAUAUAGAAAAAAUCUGCCCAUUUAUUCUUGUGGGAGUAGCAACAGCCAGGUAAGUAUAUGGCUGUUUUCUGAUUUCUUUCUCCCUCUCACUGAUGUUUGUCUGUGCUGUCACUGCUCUAUCAAUCAGCCAUGUUCAUUCUGCUCCCAUGCAGGUUUGGGGGUUACAGGUCCAGCAGUUUUUGCAUUUUGCUUUUUGCAGUUUAACACUGAGCAGCAUGUCACUAGGCCAGGUCAGAGAGUUCUGCUGAGCUAGGCUGUUGCCAUUAUUUCAGACUCUUUAGGGUAACAAAACAUGGAAUUCUGUGCAAAAGCAAUGUAUUGUAGUACCUACCCCAGGUCUGAACAAAUCAUCUACCGUAGAAUAGUCCCUUGGAAAUGUUACAAACCCUGUUUGCCAAUGAAUAAAUGUUGAUUUGGUUUUAUUUUUUGCUAACAAGUAAACAAAUAUAUGAUGAAAAAUUUUAGACAAGUUACUCCAUUAGUUCUGCUCAGCCUUCAGUCCCUGGCCCAUUGUUAAAUGCUACUUUAUUUUUGUACAAACUAUGCUCUUUAUAUCCCUUAGUUUUUAUGAGUUGAUAAUUUUAUUUUGUCCAUUUCAAACAUAGCUAAUUUUAAAUCCUGUAUUGUUACACUAAAAAUCUUCCAAUGUUCAGCUUCAGAAGGAAAUAACAAAUGUCUCUUGUAACAACUAGCAGUGUCACUCUCUGAGAUGGUGGCCAGCAAUCAUUAGACCUGCUGUAGAGCUUAGCAAUCCGUUAUUUAUUUUGUAUAGCGAUGUAAUCUGAAAAAGUUGCUGAAUUUUGUCUGCGCGCGGCGGAGCCGAGCCCCGGGUGCGGCGCGGUUGUGCCGGGGGUGCUGAGCGGGGCUGCCGGGCCUGGUGUCCCCAGGGUGUCCCCAGGGUGUCCCCAAGGUGUCCUGGACACGGCUCAGGCUCCUCCCGAGGGCAGCGAGGGCUCUGGCGGCUCCUGCAGAGAAAACUGUGACAUGUGACAUCCUCAUGGGAGCCUCACAAGGGGGAAGGGAGUUUUUCUGUUGCACAGGAGAGGCGAAUCUAAGGAUUACUGUAAAAUGAAGUUCUGUCUAAUGUUCCUUUUUUUGAGUACAUUUUUUAAAUUAUAAAACAUACAAAGGUAAAAGAAGAAAACUGUUGCCGAGUAUGUUCUGUGUAUGUUCUGUGAAAGUACCUACAGCACAGUUGCCUUUUUUCAUUUAUACGUGUAAAAUUAUUGUAUAAUAUGACACAGUUUUGUCCCGACACGACUGUAUUUGCCAAGCUUUGUGCAUUGAAAUAUUUUUAUUUAUUUGGUUUUGGGCAGUAUUAAUAUAUCAUAAACAUAUGGCUACUGUUUUAUAUAUUCUAGUUCAUCCAAUCCAUGUAUGCUGUAAAUGUGCUAGUCUUUAGGAUGAAAACCAAUAAAGAACU
This is an RNA transcript of Ficedula albicollis (Collared flycatcher), 6299 nucleotides long. It is a transcript of the gene named inositol polyphosphate-4-phosphatase type I A, with no coding region annotated. Lineage: Eukaryota; Metazoa; Chordata; Aves; Passeriformes; Muscicapidae. The transcript is spliced from 29 exons. The record is from RefSeq and is a predicted model, not a curated record.